RNAcentral lists this ribosomal RNA (584 nucleotides) under uncultured Actinobacillus sp. RNAcentral describes it as "bacterial SSU rRNA". It matches the Rfam family "Bacterial small subunit ribosomal RNA", at positions 99 to 679 of the family's 1533-position model. The record is from RNAcentral. Lineage: Bacteria; Pseudomonadati; Pseudomonadota; Gammaproteobacteria; Pasteurellales; Pasteurellaceae.
CGGACGGGUGAGUAAUGCUUGGGAAUCUGGCUCAUGGAGGGGGAUAACUACGGGAAACUGUAGCUAAUACCGCGUAGUAUCGGAAGAUGAAAGUGUGGGACCGCAAGGCCACAUGCCAUGAGAUGAGCCCAAGUGGGAUUAGGUAGUUGGUUAGGUAAAGGCUGACCAAGCCGACGAUCUCUAGCUGGUCUGAGAGGAUGACCAGCCACACUGGAACUGAGACACGGUCCAGACUCCUACGGGAGGCAGCAGUGGGGAAUAUUGCACAAUGGGGGAAACCCUGAUGCAGCCAUGCCGCGUGAAUGAAGAAGGCCUUCGGGUUGUAAAGUUCUUUCGGUGAUGAGGAAGGUGUUUGUUUUAAUAGGACAAGCAAUUGACGUUAGUCACAGAAGAAGCACCGGCUAACUCCGUGCCAGCAGCCGCGGUAAUACGGAGGGUGCGAGCGUUAAUCGGAAUAACUGGGCGUAAAGGGCACGCAGGCGGUGACUUAAGUGAGAUGUGAAAGCCCCGAGCUUAACUUGGGAAUUGCAUUUCAUACUGGGUCGCUAGAGUACUUUAGGGAGGGGUAGAAUUCCACGUGUAGC